RNAcentral lists this ribosomal RNA (253 nucleotides) under uncultured bacterium. RNAcentral's name for it is "partial 16S ribosomal RNA". It matches the Rfam family "Bacterial small subunit ribosomal RNA", at positions 524 to 776 of the family's 1533-position model. The record is from RNAcentral.
UACGGGGGGGGCAAGCGUUGUUCGGAAUUACUGGGCGUAAAGGGCUCGUAGGCGGCCAACUAAGUCAGACGUGAAAUCCCUCAGCUUAACUGGGGAACUGCGUCUGAUACUGGAUGGCUUGAGUUUGGGAGAGGGAUGCGGAAUUCCAGGUGUAGCGGUGAAAUGCGUAGAUAUCAGGAGGAACACCGGUGGUGUAGACGGCUUACUGGACCACGACUGACACUGAGGCACGAAAGCGUGGGUAGCAAACAGG